CCCCGUUGUUUUGUCUGACGGUCAAAACGUUUACAACAUCCAGGAUUCCACCGUCACCUUCCAGGAAACAAAAUGUGAAACACCAAACUACCCUUUACAGAACAUCAUAGAUGCGACAGAAAUGCUGAUGAAACGUGAGGAUCCUGACAAACAUGUAUCAACCUAUGCAGAAAGGACAGCCUGGAAGCAUCUGAAAAACACUGGAUGUGUGUUCAUCAAAGGAAGAAGUGGUACAGGGAAAUCUAGGGUUGC
This is a long non-coding RNA of Haliotis rubra (blacklip abalone), 252 nucleotides long. RefSeq lists it as uncharacterized. The transcript has 3 exons. The record is from RefSeq and is a predicted model, not a curated record. Lineage: Eukaryota; Metazoa; Mollusca; Gastropoda; Lepetellida; Haliotidae.